GAUGAACGCUGGCGGCGUGCCUAAUACAUGCAAGUCGAGCGAACAGAUAAGGAGCUUGCUCCUUUGACGUUAGCGGCGGACGGGUGAGUAACACGUGGGUAACCUACCUAUAAGACUGGGAUAACUUCGGGAAACCGGAGCUAAUACCGGAUAAUAUUUCGAACCGCAUGGUUCGAUAGUGAAAGAUGGUUUUGCUAUCACUUAUAGAUGGACCCGCGCCGUAUUAACUAGUUGGUAAGGUAACGGCUUACCAAGGCGACGAUACGUAGCCGACCUGAGAGGGUGAUCGGCCACACUGGAACUGAGACACGGUCCAGACUCCUACGGGAGGCAGCAGUAGGGAAUCUUCCGCAAUGGGCGAAAGCCUGACGGAGCAACGCCGCGUGAGUGAUGAAGGUCUUCGGAUCGUAAAACUCUGUUAUUAGGGAAGAACAUACGUGUAAGUAACUGUGCACGUCUUGACGGUACCUAAUCAGAAAGCCACGGCUAACUACGUGCCAGCAGCCGCGGUAAUACGUAGGUGGCAAGCGUUAUCCGGAAUUAUUGGGCGUAAAGCGCGCGUAGGCGGUUUUUUAAGUCUGGUGUGAAAGCCCACGGCUCAACCGUGGAGGGUCAUUGGAAACUGGAAAACUUGAGUGCAGAAGAGGAAAGUGGAAUUCCAUGUGUAGCGGUGAAAUGCGCAGAGAUAUGGAGGAACACCAGUGGCGAAGGCGACUUUCUGGUCUGUAACUGACGCUGAUGUGCGAAAGCGUGGGGAUCAAACAGGAUUAGAUACCCUGGUAGUCCACGCCGUAAACGAUGAGUGCUAAGUGUUAGGGGGUUUCCGCCCCUUAGUGCUGCAGCUAACGCAUUAAGCACUCCGCCUGGGGAGUACGACCGCAAGGUUGAAACUCAAAGGAAUUGACGGGGACCCGCACAAGCGGUGGAGCAUGUGGUUUAAUUCGAAGCAACGCGAAGAACCUUACCAAAUCUUGACAUCCUUUGACAACUCUAGAGAUAGAGCUUUCCCCUUCGGGGGACAAAGUGACAGGUGGUGCAUGGUUGUCGUCAGCUCGUGUCGUGAGAUGUUGGGUUAAGUCCCGCAACGAGCGCAACCCUUAAGCUUAGUUGCCAUCAUUAAGUUGGGCACUCUAAGUUGACUGCCGGUGACAAACCGGAGGAAGGUGGGGAUGACGUCAAAUCAUCAUGCCCCUUAUGAUUUGGGCUACACACGUGCUACAAUGGACAGUACAAAGGGCAGCGAAACCGCGAGGUCAAGCAAAUCCCAUAAAGUUGUUCUCAGUUCGGAUUGUAGUCUGCAGCUCGACUACAUGAAGAUGGAAUCGCUAGUAAUCGUAGAUCAGCAUGCUACGGUGAAUACGUUCCCGGGUC
Molecule: ribosomal RNA, 1371 nt
Filed under: uncultured bacterium
Lineage: Bacteria
Description: bacterial SSU rRNA
Rfam family: Bacterial small subunit ribosomal RNA
Source: RNAcentral